RNAcentral lists this ribosomal RNA (468 nucleotides) under uncultured bacterium. RNAcentral describes it as "partial 16S ribosomal RNA". It matches the Rfam family "Bacterial small subunit ribosomal RNA", at positions 28 to 507 of the family's 1533-position model. The record is from RNAcentral.
GACGAACGCUGGCGGCGUGCUUAACACAUGCAAGUCGAACGGAAAGGCCCUGCUUUUGUGGGGUGCUCGAGUGGCGAACGGGUGAGUAACACGUGAGUAACCUGCCCUUGACUUUGGGAUAACUUCAGGAAACUGGGGCUAAUACCGGAUAGGAGCUCCUGCUGCAUGGUGGGGGUUGGAAAGUUUCGGCGGUUGGGGAUGGACUCGCGGCUUAUCAGCUUGUUGGUGGGGUAGUGGCUUACCAAGGCUUUGACGGGUAGCCGGCCUGAGAGGGUGACCGGCCACAGGGGGACUGUGAUACGGCCCAGACUCCUACGGGAGGCAGCAGUGUGGAAUAUUGCACAAUGGGCGGAAGCCUGAUGCAGCAACGCCGCGUGCGGGAUGACGGCCUUCGGGUUGUAGACCGCUUUCGCCUGUGACGAAGCGUGAGUGACGGUAAUGGGUAAAGAAGCACCGGCUAACUACGUG